Molecule: ribosomal RNA, 278 nt
Filed under: Thalassiosira minuscula
Lineage: Eukaryota; Bacillariophyta; Thalassiosirophyceae; Thalassiosirales; Thalassiosiraceae
Description: partial Bacterial large subunit ribosomal RNA
Rfam family: Bacterial large subunit ribosomal RNA
Source: RNAcentral
ACUGCGUACCUUUUGUAUAAUGGGUCAGCGACUUACAUUCAGUAGCGAGGUUAACCGCAUAGGGGAGCCGUAGAGAAAUCGAGUCUUAAUAGGGCGUUUAGUUGCUGGGUGUAGACCCGAAACCGGGUGAUCUAUCCAUGAGCAGGUUGAAGGUUGGGUAACACUAACUGGAGGACCGAACCCACUGUCGUUGAAAAGCCAGGGGAUGACUUGUGGAUAGGGGUGAAAGGCUAAUCAAACUCGGUGAUAGCUGGUUCUCCCCGAAAGCUAUUUAGGUA